Molecule: ribosomal RNA, 119 nt
Filed under: Pteropus alecto (black flying fox)
Lineage: Eukaryota; Metazoa; Chordata; Mammalia; Chiroptera; Pteropodidae
Source: RNAcentral
GUCUAUGGCCAUGCCACCCUGAACAAGCCCAAUCCUGUCUGAUCUUAGAAGCUAAGCAGGGUCGAGCCUGGUUAGUACUUGGAUAGGAGACCACUUAGGAAGACUAGGUGCUGCAGGCG